Molecule: ribosomal RNA, 253 nt
Filed under: uncultured bacterium
Lineage: Bacteria
Description: partial 16S ribosomal RNA
Rfam family: Bacterial small subunit ribosomal RNA
Source: RNAcentral
GACAGAGGUGCCGAGCGUUAGGCGGAAUCACUGGGCUUAAAGCGUGUGUAGGCGGGUCGUUAAGUGCCUUGUGAAAUCCCACGGCUCAACCGUGGAGCUGCUGGGCAUACUGCCGAUCUUGAGCCAGCUAGGGGCAACCGGAACAAACGGUGGAGCGGUGAAAUGCGUAGAUAUCGUUUGGAACGCCAAUGGUGAAAACAGGUUGCUGGGGCUGUGCUGACGCUGAGACACGAAAGCCAGGGGAGCGAACGGG